RNAcentral lists this ribosomal RNA (1370 nucleotides) under uncultured Klebsiella sp. RNAcentral describes it as "bacterial SSU rRNA". It matches the Rfam family "Bacterial small subunit ribosomal RNA", at positions 83 to 1450 of the family's 1533-position model. The record is from RNAcentral. Lineage: Bacteria; Pseudomonadati; Pseudomonadota; Gammaproteobacteria; Enterobacterales; Enterobacteriaceae.
CUCGGGUGACGAGCGGCGGACGGGUGAGUAAUGUCUGGGAAACUGCCUGAUGGAGGGGGAUAACUACUGGAAACGGUAGCUAAUACCGCAUAACGUCGCAAGACCAAAGUGGGGGACCUUCGGGCCUCAUGCCAUCAGAUGUGCCCAGAUGGGAUUAGCUAGUAGGUGGGGUAACGGCUCACCUAGGCGACGAUCCCUAGCUGGUCUGAGAGGAUGACCAGCCACACUGGAACUGAGACACGGUCCAGACUCCUACGGGAGGCAGCAGUGGGGAAUAUUGCACAAUGGGCGCAAGCCUGAUGCAGCCAUGCCGCGUGUGUGAAGAAGGCCUUCGGGUUGUAAAGCACUUUCAGCGGGGAGGAAGGCGAUAAGGUUAAUAACCUUGUCGAUUGACGUUACCCGCAGAAGAAGCACCGGCUAACUCCGUGCCAGCAGCCGCGGUAAUACGGAGGGUGCAAGCGUUAAUCGGAAUUACUGGGCGUAAAGCGCACGCAGGCGGUCUGUCAAGUCGGAUGUGAAAUCCCCGGGCUCAACCUGGGAACUGCAUUCGAAACUGGCAGGCUAGAGUCUUGUAGAGGGGGGUAGAAUUCCAGGUGUAGCGGUGAAAUGCGUAGAGAUCUGGAGGAAUACCGGUGGCGAAGGCGGCCCCCUGGACAAAGACUGACGCUCAGGUGCGAAAGCGUGGGGAGCAAACAGGAUUAGAUACCCUGGUAGUCCACGCCGUAAACGAUGUCGAUUUGGAGGUUGUGCCCUUGAGGCGUGGCUUCCGGAGCUAACGCGUUAAAUCGACCGCCUGGGGAGUACGGCCGCAAGGUUAAAACUCAAAUGAAUUGACGGGGGCCCGCACAAGCGGUGGAGCAUGUGGUUUAAUUCGAUGCAACGCGAAGAACCUUACCUGGUCUUGACAUCCACAGAACUUUCCAGAGAUGGAUUGGUGCCUUCGGGAACUGUGAGACAGGUGCUGCAUGGCUGUCGUCAGCUCGUGUUGUGAAAUGUUGGGUUAAGUCCCGCAACGAGCGCAACCCUUAUCCUUUGUUGCCAGCGGUUAGGCCGGGAACUCAAAGGAGACUGCCAGUGAUAAACUGGAGGAAGGUGGGGAUGACGUCAAGUCAUCAUGGCCCUUACGACCAGGGCUACACACGUGCUACAAUGGCAUAUACAAAGAGAAGCGACCUCGCGAGAGCAAGCGGACCUCAUAAAGUAUGUCGUAGUCCGGAUUGGAGUCUGCAACUCGACUCCAUGAAGUCGGAAUCGCUAGUAAUCGUAGAUCAGAAUGCUACGGUGAAUACGUUCCCGGGCCUUGUACACACCGCCCGUCACACCAUGGGAGUGGGUUGCAAAAGAAGUAGGUAGCUUAACCUUCGGGAGGG